GACGAACGCUGGCGGCGUGCUUAACACAUGCAAGUCGAACGGAAAGGCCCUGCUUUUGUGGGGUGCUCGAGUGGCGAACGGGUGAGUAACACGUGAGUAACCUGCCCUUGACUUUGGGAUAACUUCAGGAAACUGGGGCUAAUACCGGAUAGGAGCUCCUGCUGCAUGGUGGGGGGUGGAAAGUUUCGGCGGUUGGGGAUGGACUCGCGGCUUAUCAGCUUGUUGGGGGGGUAGUGGCUUACCAAGGCUUUGACGGGUAGCCGGCCUGAGAGGGUGACCGGCCCCAAUGGGACUGAGAUGCCGGCCGCACGGCUACGGGAGCCAGCGGUGCGCAGUUGUGCACAAUGGCCGGCAGCCUCAUGCAGCAGGCCCGCGUGCGGGAUGGCGGCUGUCGCUUUGUCAACCGCCUUCGCCCGUGCCGAAGGCUUAAUCUCGCUAAUGGCUAGGCAGGCACCGUCUAACUGCCUG
This 468-nucleotide ribosomal RNA is filed under the name uncultured bacterium. Its description in RNAcentral is "partial 16S ribosomal RNA". It matches the Rfam family "Bacterial small subunit ribosomal RNA", at positions 28 to 507 of the family's 1533-position model. The record is from RNAcentral.